GACGAACGCUGGCGGCGUGCUUAACACAUGCAAGUCGAACGGAAAGGCCCUGCUUUUGUGGGGUGCUCGAGUGGCGAACGGGUGAGUAACACGUGAGUAACCUGCCCUUGACUUUGGGAUAACUUCAGGAAACUGGGGCUAAUACCGGAUAGGAGCUCCUGCUGCAUGGCGGGGGUUGGAAAGUUUCGGCGGUUGGGGAUGGACUCGCGGCUUAUCAGCUUGUUGGUGGGGUAGUGGCUUACCAAGGCUUUGACGGGUAGUCGGCCUGAGAGGGUGACCGGCCACAUUGGGACUGAGAUACGGCCCAGACUCCUACGGGAGGCAGCAGGGGGGAAUAUUGCACAAUGGGCGGAAGCCUGAUGCAGCAACGCCGCGUGCGGGAUGACGGCCUUCGGGUUGUAAACCGCUUUCGCCUGUGACGAAGCGUGAGUGACGGUAAUGGGUAAAGAAGCACCGGCUAACUACGUG
RNAcentral lists this ribosomal RNA (468 nucleotides) under uncultured bacterium. Its description in RNAcentral is "partial 16S ribosomal RNA". It matches the Rfam family "Bacterial small subunit ribosomal RNA", at positions 28 to 507 of the family's 1533-position model. The record is from RNAcentral.